Melampsora larici-populina 98AG31 is the source of this 103-nucleotide ribosomal RNA. It matches the Rfam family "Eukaryotic small subunit ribosomal RNA", at positions 1502 to 1604 of the family's 1831-position model. Lineage: Eukaryota; Fungi; Basidiomycota; Pucciniomycetes; Pucciniales; Melampsoraceae. The record is from Rfam.
ACUGACCAAGCCAGCGAGUAUAUAACCUUAUCCGAAAGGAUUGGGUAAUCUUGUGAAACUUGGUCGUGAUGGGGAUAGAGCAUUGCAAUUAUUGCUCUUCAAC